AUACACGCUGGCGGCGUGCUUCACACAUGCAAGUCGCACGAAGUUUUUCUUUCGGGAGGAACUUAGUGGCGGACGGGUGAGUAACGCGUGGGUAACCUGCCCUGUACAGGGGGACAACAGCUGGAAACGGCUGCUAAUACCGCAUAAGCCCUUAGCACUGCAUGGUGCAUAGGGAAAAGGAGCAAUCCGGUACAGGAUGGACCCGCGUCUGAUUAGCCAGUUGGCAGGGUAACGGCCUACCAAAGCGACGAUCAGUAGCCGAUCUGAGAGGAUGUACGGCCACAUUGGGACUGAGACACGGCCCAGACUCCUACGGGAGGCAGCAGUGGGGAAUAUUGCACAAUGGAGGAAACUCUGAUGCAGCGACGCCGCGUGAGUGAAGAAGUAUUUCGGUAUGUAAAGCUCUAUCAGCAGGAAAGAAAAUGACGGUACCUGACUAAGAAGCACCGGCUAAAUACGUG
This 461-nucleotide ribosomal RNA is filed under the name uncultured bacterium. Its description in RNAcentral is "partial 16S ribosomal RNA". It matches the Rfam family "Bacterial small subunit ribosomal RNA", at positions 33 to 507 of the family's 1533-position model. The record is from RNAcentral.